UACAGAGGUCCCAAGCGUUGUUCGGAUUCACUGGGCGUAAAGGGUGCGUAGGUGGUCGGGUAAGUCUGAUGUGAAAUCUCCGAGCUUAACUCGGAAAUGGCAUUGGAUACUAUUCGGCUGGAGGUUUGGAGGGGGACUGGAAUUCUCGGUGUAGCAGUGAAAUGCGUAGAUAUCGAGAGGAACACCAGUGGCGAAGGCGAGUCCCUGGACAACACCUGACACUGAGGCACGAAAGCUAGGGGAGCAAACAGG
This 252-nucleotide ribosomal RNA is filed under the name uncultured bacterium. RNAcentral describes it as "partial 16S ribosomal RNA". It matches the Rfam family "Bacterial small subunit ribosomal RNA", at positions 524 to 776 of the family's 1533-position model. The record is from RNAcentral.